RNAcentral lists this ribosomal RNA (464 nucleotides) under uncultured bacterium. Its description in RNAcentral is "partial 16S ribosomal RNA". It matches the Rfam family "Bacterial small subunit ribosomal RNA", at positions 29 to 507 of the family's 1533-position model. The record is from RNAcentral.
ACGAACGCUGGCGGCGUGCUUAACACAUGCAAGUCGAACGGAAAGGCCCCUUUGGGGGUACUCGAGUGGCGAACGGGUGAGUAACACGUGAGUAACCUGCCCUUGACUUCGGGAUAACUUCAGGAAACUGGGGCUAAUACCGGAUAGGAAUCCUUGCUGCAUGGUGGGGGUUGGAAAGCUUCGGCGGUUUUGGAUGGACUCGCGGCUUAUCAGCUUGUUGGUGGGGUAGUGGCUUACCAAGGCUUUGACGGGUAGCCGGCCUGAGAGGGCGACCGGCCACAUUGGGACUGAGAUACGGCCCAGACUCCUACGGGAGGCAGCAGUGGGGAAUAUUGCACAAUGGGCGGAAGCCUGAUGCAGCAACGCCGCGUGCGGGAUGACGGCCUUCGGGUUGUAAACCGCUUUCAGCAGGGGCGAAGCUUGUGGUGACGGUACCUGCAGAAGGAGCACCGGCUAACUACGUG